AUACGGAGGGGGCUAGCGUUGUUCGGAAUUACUGGGCGUAAAGCGCGCGUAGGCGGACCUGUAAGUCGGGGGUGAAAGCCCGAGGCUCAACCUCGGAACUGCCUUCGAUACUACAGGUCUUGAGUCCGAGAGAGGUGAGUGGAAUUCCUAGUGUAGAGGUGAAAUUCGUAGAUAUUAGGAAGAACACCAGUGGCGAAGGCGGCUCACUGGCUCGGUACUGACGCUGAGGUGCGAAAGCGUGGGGAGCAAACAGGAUUAGAUACCCCGGUAGUCC
This 274-nucleotide ribosomal RNA is filed under the name uncultured bacterium. RNAcentral describes it as "partial 16S ribosomal RNA". It matches the Rfam family "Bacterial small subunit ribosomal RNA", at positions 523 to 796 of the family's 1533-position model. The record is from RNAcentral.